AAUCCAUAGGUUAAUGAGGCGAACCGGGGGAACUGAAACAUCUAAGUACCCCGAGGAAAAGAAAUCAACCGAGAUUCCCCCAGUAGCGGCGAGCGAACGGGGAGGAGCCCAGAGCCUGAAUCAGCAUGUGUGUUAGUGGAAGCGUCUGGAAAGGCGCGCGAUACAGGGUGACAGCCCCGUACACAAAAGCGCAUGUGCUGUGAGCUCGAUGAGUAGGGCGGGACACGUGGUAUCCUGUCUGAAUAUGGGGGGACCAUCCUCCAAGGCUAAAUACUCCUGACUGACCGAUAGUGAACCAGUACCGUGAGGGAAAGGCGAAAAGAACCCCGGCGAGGGGAGUGAAAAAGAACCUGAAACCGUGUACGUACAAGCAGUGGGAGCACAGGUUUACCUGUGUGACUGCGUACCUUUUGUAUAAUGGGUCAGCGACUUAUAUUCUGUAGCAAGGUUAACCGAAUAGGGGAGCCGGAGGGAAACCGAGUCUUAAUUGGGCGUUAAGUUGCAGGGUAUAGACCCGAAACCCGGUGAUCUAGCCAUGGGCAGGUUGAAGGUUGGGUAACACUAACUGGAGGACCGAACCGACUAAUGUUGAAAAAUUAGCGGAUGACCUGUGGCUGGGGGUGAAAGGCCAAUCAAACCGGGAGAUAGCUGGUUCUCCCCGAAAGCUAUUUAGGUAGCGCCUCGUGAAUUCAUCUCCGGGGGUAGAGCACUGUUUCGGCUAGGGGGCCAUCCCGGCUUACCAACCCGAUGCAAACUGCGAAUACCGGAGAAUGUUAUCACGGGAGACACACGGCGGGUGCUAACGUCCGUCGUGAAGAGGGAAACAACCCAGACCGCCAGCUAAGGUCCCAAAGUCAUGGUUAAGUGGGAAACGAUGUGGGAAGGCCCAGACAGCCAGGAUGUUGGCUUAGAAGCAGCCAUCAUUUAAAGAAAGCGUAAUAGCUCACUGGUCGAGUCGGCCUGCGCGGAAGAUGUAACGGGGCUAAACCAUGCACCGAAGCUGCGGCAGCGAACGUAUCACUUAAAGCGAUUCAGCGGGUUACGAUUGACGGAGCGAAGCGACGUCAAAGCGUAUACAAAGUCGAGUCGGUUUAAGGAUACGUUCGUUGGGUAGGGGAGCGUUCUGUAAGCCUGCGAAGGUGGCCUGUGAGGGUUGCUGGAGGUAUCAGAAGUGCGAAUGCUGACAUAAGUAACGAUAAAGCGGGUGAAAAGCCCGCUCGCCGGAAGACCAAGGGUUCCUGUCCAACGUUAAUCGGGGCAGGGUGAGUCGACCCCUAAGGCGAGGCCGAAAGGCGUAGUCGAUGGGAAACGGGUUAAUAUUCCCGUACUUGGUGUUACUGCGAAGGGGGGACGGAGAAGGCUAUGUUGGCCGGGCGACGGUUGUCCCGGUUUAAGCGUGUAGGUGUGUGUUCCAGGUAAAUCCGGUUCACUUUAACACUGAGGCGUGAUGACGAGGCACUACGGUGCUGAAGCAACAAAUGCCCUGCUUCCAGGAAAAGCCUCUAAGCAUCAGGUAACAUCAAAUCGUACCCCAAACCGACACAGGUGGUCAGGUAGAGAAUACCAAGGCGCUUGAGAGAACUCGGGUGAAGGAACUAGGCAAAAUGGUGCCGUAACUUCGGGAGAAGGCACGCUGACACGUAGGUGAAGUGAUUUACUCAUGGAGCUGAAGUCAGUCGAAGAUACCAGCUGGCUGCAACUGUUUAUUAAAAACACAGCACUGUGCAAACACGAAAGUGGACGUAUACGGUGUGACGCCUGCCCGGUGCCGGAAGGUUAAUUGAUGGGGUCAGCGCAAGCGAAGCUCCUGAUCGAAGCCCCGGUAAACGGCGGCCGUAACUAUAACGGUCCUAAGGUAGCGAAAUUCCUUGUCGGGUAAGUUCCGACCUGCACGAAUGGCGUAAUGAUGGCCAGGCUGUCUCCACCCGAGACUCAGUGAAAUUGAACUCGCUGUGAAGAUGCAGUGUACCCGCGGCAAGACGGAAAGACCCCGUGAACCUUUACUAUAGCUUGACACUGAACAUUGAGCCUUGAUGUGUAG
Molecule: ribosomal RNA, 2041 nt
Filed under: Salmonella enterica subsp. enterica serovar Anatum
Lineage: Bacteria; Pseudomonadati; Pseudomonadota; Gammaproteobacteria; Enterobacterales; Enterobacteriaceae
Also listed under: 1 other name
Description: partial 23S ribosomal RNA
Rfam family: Bacterial large subunit ribosomal RNA
Source: RNAcentral